UGGUAAUUAGUUUAAACAAAAUCAAUGAUUUCGACUCAUUAGAUUAUGGUACCCACCAUAAUUACCAA
Molecule: non-coding RNA, 68 nt
Organism: Mastomys coucha (southern multimammate mouse)
Lineage: Eukaryota; Metazoa; Chordata; Mammalia; Rodentia; Muridae
Source: the annotation of a RefSeq genome assembly